GGCUCUUUGGUGUUAGAAAUAAAGAGUCGGACCUGCCCGGUGAAUGUAAUAAACGGUUGCAACGAGAGUUGUACGAAGGUAGCGUGAUAAGUUGUCUUUUAAUUGGAGAAUGGAAUGAAGGGUUUGACGUGAAAUUUCUUUUUUUAUAAAAGGUACUAAAGUUUCCUUCUAAGUGAAAAGGCUUAGGUUUUUGAAAAAGACGAGAAGACCCUGUCGAACUUGAUUAAGAAUUGCUGGUUAUAGAUAUUUGAAAGUUUUAUUGGGGCAAUAUUAACUUAAAAAACAGUUAAUUUAUUCAUAGAUCCUUUUUGAAAGAAAGAGGAAAAAGUUACCGCAGGGAUAAC
RNAcentral lists this ribosomal RNA (344 nucleotides) under Mercenaria mercenaria. RNAcentral describes it as "partial large subunit ribosomal RNA". It matches the Rfam family "Bacterial large subunit ribosomal RNA", at positions 1819 to 2478 of the family's 2925-position model. Lineage: Eukaryota; Metazoa; Mollusca; Bivalvia; Venerida; Veneridae. The record is from RNAcentral.